GUGCGCUCGCAGUCACGUGGCCGCCUGGACCGGUAAGGCUCCUGGUGUCACCCAGCCCGAGGACGUCGCACCUUGGAGCCUGGGACACGGAUCUCAACCAUGCCUCGAAAUUCACAUUCAAGCCGGACUGAUGGUGCAGGCUUAAGAUCUGGGGCAGGAGGGUCUGUGCGACAGUGGAUUUAAGGACAGCCUGGCAACUUGGAAAUGCACAUCAACAGACGUGUGUCCGUGCCACUGAUGAACGAUGUGACUAAUGUGAAGGACGCAGGGCAAGUUCUUUCUGGGUCGCCCAGAUUGGCCUGGAACUUGCAAGACUGUCCAGGCCAACCCCUGUCAGCAUGCCUAUCUCAGCUUCCUGUACCCUGGGUUACAGCCGUGGAUCAACACGCCAGGCAACAGAUCCAGCACUAGGGACUGGGUUCAGGGCCUUGAGCUUUUGUGAAGGUGUCCGCACUGAGCUCACCGCAUCGGCUCCGUGUGAUUUUG
This is a long non-coding RNA of Microtus ochrogaster (prairie vole), 486 nucleotides long. RefSeq lists it as uncharacterized. The transcript has 4 exons. The record is from RefSeq and is a predicted model, not a curated record. Lineage: Eukaryota; Metazoa; Chordata; Mammalia; Rodentia; Cricetidae.